AGAACAAUGACUUUUUGGCAAAAGAUAUUUUCAGGACGAAAAUGGGAGAAAGCAAGCAAAUUUAGAAGAAUGAUAAAAAGAUCUUUCCUUCAUGAGGGUUGAGAUACUAUAAAAAUAUUGACAUCUGAGAAGUUAUUAUGAAGAUCUCAAAUGCAAAAAGAAACACAUGAAGAAACUGACUUGGCUUAUUCACUAAACACUAAACAUUUAAACUACCACAAGAUCCAGAAAAACAAAUCUAAUUGCAUCAUAAUAUGUG
Molecule: unclassified non-coding RNA, 259 nt
Filed under: Hevea brasiliensis (rubber tree)
Lineage: Eukaryota; Viridiplantae; Streptophyta; Magnoliopsida; Malpighiales; Euphorbiaceae
Source: RNAcentral